GGAAAAGAAGAAAUAAAAUAUACAUUUUUAUCGUUAGAUUAUGAGUAUAUUCGUUACUAUCAUGUAUUCAUUUUAUUAUUUAUUUACUUAUUUCGUUUUAGAACAGAAGUAUCCAUCGACAGACAUCCAUAACACAAACAUUUAGAAACAUCUUGAAGAUAAAACAGUUUCCCGCGUCGAAGCAUUAGGUGAUGCAAUAUCCAUAUGUACCUACAUUCACCGUAUCGAUUUUCUCAGGACUUCCGUAUACUUCUUAAGAAAUACAAAUACAGAUACAGUACACUUGAUAUUUACGUAGGAAUAAUGUAAUUGAUACGAAUGAGAAUAUUUCAAAUAGAAUUGACUUAUUCAACGUGUACUCGAAUCGAAUUUUAGGGAAAUCACAUAUAAGUUUUGAAUAUGCGUAGCAUUAGAAUAAUACGCUGCUAGUAUAUCACUUCCGGCAGGAAUGUAUCAAUCCUUCCAUCUUUAUUCAUCCCUCACACACUUCACUUUUACUUUUUACUUCACGAAGAUUUCCAUCGCACUAUUACUGUUAAUAAAAAAUAUUUGUGUCUAAACAUAUUUACGUCUAAAUAUAUAACUAUAGAUUAUUGUAAUCAAGUUUUUAUAAAAUGAUCGAAAACAUAAUAUUCUUUUCACAGACAUUGGAUCGAUUUUUUUGAUUACGAAAGAAAUGUAACGAAUCGAUAGUCAGAAACAUCGUGAUCUUCCGGUGUUUAUCCGGAUGUUCACGAUUUAAUGAAUUUCUUCUGAAUCUCGCGUGAAGCAUAUACGUUGACGGGAUUAGAAAUACUGCGUGUUAACGCUUCAACGAUGGAGUCUUCUUGGGGACACCCAUUGUUUCGACAUGGUAAAAGAAAAAGGUUGCAAACCACUGCAUUGAGAACUUCCGUUACUCGUUUCUCCCCCUUUUAUUCUUCUUCCGUGGCCGCAGAAGUAUGCUUAGAAUUAUUUUGUUUAAUGCCAAAAGAGUCGAUCACCGCAAAGCUUAUCACCAAACGAAUAGAUCCAUAGCCUUUUGAAAAGUUAUCUAUUUAUGGUACAACGUGGUAAGAAUAAUGAUCGAGAAUAAUCAUCGUUUGUUACUUUUCAUAUUAUAUAAACGAGACUUAUAUAAAUUUGAAUUUUAAUUGGAAUUUUGAAUUAUCAUAAAGAUUUUCAUUUGACUUUGCAAAAAAAUGUUAUCACUGAAACUGAAUUAAAAUAAAACGAAAUCUUACGCACGUACUUACGUAAGUUGCAGAUAAAAAACUACAAAUUUGCAAGUUUAAUGCUUUUCAAAGAUACUUUAUCUGUGUUUGCAAAUUGAAGAUGUAGAAAUGAGGUAGAUUUGUAGCAUUUAUCUGGUCGUUUCUGAACCGGAUUAUAUUUUAUAAACUUAUGUAAUUUGAAACUUACCAGUUUACUUAGUAGGUUAGUUGACACGAAAAGAUUUGACUAAGUAAAUCUUGUAAUUUCAGAGUAUGUAUAUUUAAAGAAAAUCUUUUUUUAUUUCUUUUAAAAAAUACUAAUAAUAAUUCAAUUACGUGAGAAUUAAAAAUAAAUUGAACUUGGGAAUUAUCACGUUUUGAAAAAUGCAGUAAUUUGAAUAGAAUGUUUCAGCAAUAUUCGAGUAUUAUUAAAUUAUUAUUUUAUUACUUUAUAAAAAGUUGAAAUUUUUAAUCCUGCAUUUUAUUUGAUUAAAGUUAAUUUUAAACUUGGACUGAAAUACCGGCCGAUCUUCUAAUAGAAUUGAGUUUAGAAUAAAAAUAGCACUCCUAAGUGAAUCUUAGAAAAGAUCUAUGCUGCGUUUUUUAAAUACUUACGAUAUUUAUCUAAAUAAUUAGAAACUAUGACAAAAUGCAUCAUAAUUAAUAUUAUUUUGAUUAAAAUCUUGUUAUGAUAAAUUAUAUUGAAUGAAGACACUUUUUUGAACAUUUAAUAUGAUUCAACAUAUAUCGUUUUUUCAACGAUAGAACGCCGAUAGAUUUUACUAAUUUUAGAAUAGAAUA
Long non-coding RNA from Vespula pensylvanica (western yellowjacket), 1994 nucleotides. RefSeq lists it as uncharacterized. Lineage: Eukaryota; Metazoa; Arthropoda; Insecta; Hymenoptera; Vespidae. The record is from RefSeq and is a predicted model, not a curated record. The transcript has 3 exons.